CGAAACCGAUAGCGAACAAGUACCGUGAGGGAAAGUUGAAAAGUACUCUGAAUAGAGAGUUAAAUAGUACGUGAAACCGCUUAGGGGUUAAGCCCGAUGAACCCGAAUAUCUGAUGUGAGAAAUUCAAUACGAUUCAAAUUCAUAUUUUUAUAUUGGAUUUGUAUAGUAUGCACUUUUCUCAUAGUAAGACAUUGUAAUCCAUUGAUAUUAUAUCUCAUAUGAGAUGAUUUAACAUACGGACAAAAUGUUUUUGAUUAUUCUAUCAGUGAUAUGUUUACAUGUCAUAUGAAUAAAAUCGUUUUGUUUCCUGUUUAAAUAGUCGAUGGAUUUUUCAUUGAAAUCAUGCUUGCAAUUUAUUUUGCGUUUCGUAUCAUUAAUUUUUAAUUGUUGAUAGCAGAAAUGGCAUGUAUUCGAUUAACAAUGCGAUAGAUUUGGGAUACUUUCAGGACCCG
This 453-nucleotide ribosomal RNA is filed under the name Arnoldiola sp. Arnsp117. RNAcentral's name for it is "partial large subunit ribosomal RNA". The stretch from base 1 to 320 matches the Rfam family "Eukaryotic large subunit ribosomal RNA", at positions 329 to 664 of the family's 3401-position model. Lineage: Eukaryota; Metazoa; Arthropoda; Insecta; Diptera; Cecidomyiidae. The record is from RNAcentral.